This is an RNA transcript of Solanum dulcamara, 1661 nucleotides long. RefSeq lists it as uncharacterized. The record is from RefSeq and is a predicted model, not a curated record. The transcript has 3 exons. Lineage: Eukaryota; Viridiplantae; Streptophyta; Magnoliopsida; Solanales; Solanaceae.
CUUUAGGGGUCGAAUUUGAAAAUGAAAUAUUUGAGCGGUAAAAAUUCAAAAGAGGAUCCUCUGCACGUCCAUGUCCAUUUUUUCAAAAAUUGAAUACAAACUCCUGGAACUCCGCGACUAAAUUAUUAUCAAAUCUCUCAUUUUGUCCUCUUCACACUCUUCACUUGGUUGACUCUCUCUUCCGCCAUUGCAAUGGGUUGUGUUUCAUCCACUCUGCUCAAUCAAGACAAUGAAUUCACCCAAAUGGGUGGUUCUUCUGCCGGUUUCAGCCAUCAUUUUGUCUCUCUCACUUCAACAACUUAUGGUCUUUUGACCCUCGAUCCACCUUCUACUCCCCCACCAACCACCACUCUCCCUCCUACGCCUACCCCACCACCUCGCCACACUCUUGGUUCACUUUUCCCAACCCCCUUGUCGGAACCCAGAAUCCUCAAGUCCGACAUCAUCAACUCUUGGGAACUUAUGGCUGGUCUUGAUUCCACCUCCACAACACCCAUCAGUGACAGCUUUCGAUUUCCCUCUUUACGCAAAUCGACCCCUGAUUCUAGCUUCAGAUUCUUGAAAUCAUCCCCCGAUAAAGAGAAUUCAAGCCCAAAUAUUCCAUCUUUUACCGAUGUGCUUGAUAAAGCCGACAUUUUUAAGCCCACGAGAUUGUCUUCUGCUUCCGUGCUUGAUAGGUUUGAAAAGCUUUGUCCUCCAAAUGGUGAGGAUAAAAUAGUGAUCUACACAACGACGUUGAGGGGUGUGAGGAAGACCUUUGAGGCUUGUAAUACUGUGAGAUCAGCGAUUGAAGGGCUUGGGGUUCUGUUUUCUGAGAGGGAUAUUUCGAUGGAUAGGGGUUUCAGGGAAGAAUUGAAGGAGCUGAUGAAGGGUAAAGAGAGCACUCAUGAGUUAAUACCUCCAAGGGUGUUCUUUAAAGGAAGGUACAUUGGAGGGGCUGAGGAGGUGAUGAGGAUUGUGGAGGAAGGAAAUUUUGGAGAUUUGCUUCAAGGAUUACCUAAGGUGAAAGCUGGUUCUGUUUGUGAGGGUUGUGGGGGAAUCAGGUUCAUGCCUUGUUUUACAUGUAAUGGUAGCUGCAAGAUGGUGAUGGUGGUCAAAGAAGAUGUGGAACAGAACGAAGGCAGAGCUGUCGUGGUGCGGUGUAGUGAGUGUAAUGAAAAUGGAUUGGUGCUUUGCCCCAUUUGCUGCUGAGUAAUGGCAGGAGAUGUGACUGUGAGGACCUAGCUUGGACAGUUCUUUGAGUUCUCUUCAUCUUCUCAUCUAAGCGUUGCAAUUUCAGUUGCAACUACUAUUGGGACUGUGUUGGCUUUUUGGAUGAUUCCAAUGUAAUCACUUGGUCAAGAUGGCUGGAAGAUAGCUUCUGCUCUUAUGGGAAGACACAUAGGUGGAGGCAAAUUCAUAGACUCUUGGUUGCUCUCUGGUCUUGUACAAUCUUUAUUUAGAAUCGUCCUUUUACAUCUGUAUUUUCCAUUUAUCCUUAUGCAAGCUUUUUUUUGCUAACUUGAUCUUGGAGUUCUUGUAAAGCCAAAGUGUUUGAAAAAACAACCAGUUGGCUUAUCAUUGCUUUAUGAUCUGUUAAUGGUUGGUAUGAAUGUAAGUUUCAAAUUCUCUUUUAUAAGAAAUAUCAAUACAGCAUCCUACUUUGUAAUUGGAGGUUCUAA